GACGAACGCUGGCGGCGUGCUUAACACAUGCGAGUCGAACGGAAAGGCCCUGCUUUUGUGGGGUGCUCGAGUGGCGAACGGGUGAGUAACACGUGAGUAACCUGCCCUUGACUUUGGGAUAACUUCAGGAAACUGGGGCUAAUACCGGAUAGGAGCUCCUGCCGCAUGGUGGGGGUUGGACAGUUUCGGCGGUUGGGGAUGGACUCGCGGCUUAUCAGCUUGUUGGUGGGGUAGUGGCUUACCACGGCGUUGACGGGUAGCCGGCCUGAGAGGCUGACCGGCCACAUUGGGACUGAGAUACGGCCCAGACUCGUACGGGAGGCAGCAGUGGGGAAUAUUGCACACUGGGCGGAAGCCUGAUGCAGCAACGCCGCGUGCGGGAUGACGGCCUUCGGGUUGUAAACCGCUUUCGCCUGUGACGAAGCGUGAGUGACGGUAAUGUGUAAAGAAGCACCGGCUAACUACGUG
Molecule: ribosomal RNA, 468 nt
Filed under: uncultured bacterium
Lineage: Bacteria
Description: partial 16S ribosomal RNA
Rfam family: Bacterial small subunit ribosomal RNA
Source: RNAcentral